UCUGGUGAUUUGAGCGACGAAGUCACACCCGGUCCCAUCCCGAACCCGGUAGUUAAGCUCGUUAGCGCCGAUGGUACUUGGGGGGCGACUCCCUGGGAGAGUAGGUCAUUGCCGGAA
This 117-nucleotide ribosomal RNA is filed under the name Anaerolineales bacterium. Lineage: Bacteria; Bacillati; Chloroflexota; Anaerolineae; Anaerolineales. The record is from RNAcentral. RNAcentral also lists the same sequence under 1 other name.